This 360-nucleotide ribosomal RNA is filed under the name Syzygium salwinense. RNAcentral's name for it is "eukaryotic LSU rRNA". The stretch from base 251 to 360 matches the Rfam family "Eukaryotic large subunit ribosomal RNA", at positions 1 to 110 of the family's 3401-position model. The record is from RNAcentral. Lineage: Eukaryota; Viridiplantae; Streptophyta; Magnoliopsida; Myrtales; Myrtaceae.
CGCCCGAAGCUUGCUAGGGCACGUUUGCCUGGGUGUCACACACGGCGUUGCCCCUAACCCCUCGCCUUGAAUUGGGCGGGCGGGACUUGGGUGCGUAUGUUGGCCUCCCGAGACGACUUCGUCCCGGUUGGUCCAAAAUCGAGCGUUGGAGCGAUCAGCACCACGACAUUCGGUGGUUGAUGAAACCCCAGUGAUCAAUGUCGCGCGUGUCGCUCAUGCAAUCGCUCCAUGAAUCUACUUUUCACCAACGCGACCCCAGGUCAAGCGGGGCUACCCGCUGAGUUUAAGCAUAUCAAUAAGCGGAGGAAAAGAAACUAACAAGGAUUCCCCUAGUAACGGCGAGCGAACCGGGAAGAGCCC